RNAcentral lists this long non-coding RNA (1061 nucleotides) under Cervus hanglu yarkandensis (Yarkand deer). RNAcentral's name for it is "lncRNA (ENSCHYG00000006174.1)". Lineage: Eukaryota; Metazoa; Chordata; Mammalia; Artiodactyla; Cervidae. The record is from RNAcentral.
CGGUGGUGCAUCCUUCUGGGACCCUCAGAGUUCACCUGGAGCCCUCCUUUUCUCUGCUGUGCACCUGUAGGGUGCAGGGGCCAGGCGGCCACCUGAGGGGAGAAGCUGCCCACAGUCCACUCACUCCACUUGGUGAAAUUUGCAUGUUACUCUUCGGCUGGUGACUGCUCACCCCAAAUUCGACUUUGAGAGCCGCCCACAACCCAACAGCCCUGAUGCUGUACUGCGACUGAGCUUCACACUGGCCCAGGAGGACCUUUUCCUCAUCCUUCCAGCCUACUUCAAAGAUGCUGCAGACGAUCACUGUUUACUGUUCGAAGCACAGGUUCUGAAUCUCAGCGCCCAUGAUUUUCCGAGUCCCCUGAGGCCUUUCUACUGUUGCAUGAAGCCCAUGUGUCGGGAGCCGGUGAGAGAAACCUCGCCCGUGACAAGGUCUGGGUUCAAGGAGCUGGCACGCAAAGGCAUCCGGACCUCCAAGACCGCUCCACACGCAAAGGUGUCCGGACCUCCGGGGGUUUCUCGAGACCGUCCCACCAUCCACUCCCAGGCCUUCGUCCUUUCAUCUUCUGAUGCUUGGCGUUCUUCUAUGGUCCCUAAAAACUAGUCUGAUUCUUACCUAAAAUCCCUCCUUGAAACCUUUGCAUGGCAGCAACACAGUCCCUGGGGGCACACGGGUCCCAAUAAACAGGCCUAUCUAUCCCAUAAGCAAAAGUAGAUAGAGUCCAUUACGAGAUUGAGAAGAUUCCUUAGGGUGUGAUCAGGAGGGAAUUCAUGAGACCUCUGACCCUUUGGAUUACAUACCAGAGCUCAGUCUGCCCGGGGCUGAGCUUCCCAAGAUAAGGUUUGUAGAUGGCUUUUCACAGUUGACUAGCUGCUGCCGUUGAAUUGUUUAAAAGUUAUGUGUAGGUAUUGACUGUUCUGGAAAGUUAUUUAUGAUGUAACCCAUGAUUAUGCACCUGGUACAAUCUUAUCAUUCCCCCCUCCUUAAACCUCUUUAAAGGAUUAUUGGUUUUAGGGUAUAUAAGCACUGAUGUAAGAGAAUAAAGUAGUCUUGAUUCUGC